This 490-nucleotide ribosomal RNA is filed under the name uncultured bacterium. RNAcentral's name for it is "partial 16S ribosomal RNA". It matches the Rfam family "Bacterial small subunit ribosomal RNA", at positions 29 to 506 of the family's 1533-position model. The record is from RNAcentral.
AGUGAACGCUGGCGGUAGGCCUAACACAUGCAAGUCGAACGGCAGCACAGUAAGAGCUUGCUCUUACGGGUGGCGAGUGGCGGACGGGUGAGGAAUACAUCGGAAUCUACUUUUCGUGGGGGAUAACGUAGGGAAACUUACGCUAAUACCGCAUACGACCUACGGGUGAAAGCAGGGGAUCUUCGGACCUUGCGCGAUUGAAUGGGCCGAUGUCGGAUUAGCUAGUUGGCGGGGUAAAGGCCCACCAAGGCGACGAUCCGUAGCUGGUCUGAGAGGAUGAUCAGCCACACUGGAACUGAGACACGGUCCAGACUCCUACGGGAGGCAGCAGUGGGGAAUAUUGGACAAUGGGCGCAAGCCUGAUCCAGCCAUACCGCGUGGGUGAAGAAGGCCUUCGGGUUGUAAAGCCCUUUUGUUGGGAAAGAAAAGCAGCAGGUUAAUACCCCGCUGUUCUGACGGUACCCAAAGAAUAAGCACCGGCUAACUUCGU